RNAcentral lists this ribosomal RNA (796 nucleotides) under uncultured Bacteroidota bacterium. RNAcentral's name for it is "bacterial SSU rRNA". It matches the Rfam family "Bacterial small subunit ribosomal RNA", at positions 33 to 827 of the family's 1533-position model. Lineage: Bacteria; Pseudomonadati; Bacteroidota. The record is from RNAcentral.
ACGCUAGCGGAGGCCUAACACAUGCAAGUCGAGGGGUAGAAUGUCUUCGGAUGUUUGAGACCGGCGCACGGGUGCGUAACGCGUAUGCAACCUACCUCUUACUGGGGAAUAGCCCGGAGAAAUUCGGAUUAAUGCCCCAUAUGCUCGUACGACCUCAUGGUCGAGCGAGGAAAGCUCCGGCGGUAAGAGAUGGGCAUGCGUCCUAUUAGCUUGUUGGUGAGGUAACGGCUCACCAAGGCUACGAUAGGUAGGGGGCCUGAGAGGGUGACCCCCCACACUGGUACUGAGACACGGACCAGACUCCUACGGGAGGCAGCAGUGAGGAAUAUUGGGCAAUGGAGGAAACUCUGACCCAGCCAUGCCGCGUGCAGGAAGACGGCCCUAUGGGUUGUAAACUGCUUUUGUACGAGAAUAAACCUUUCCACGUGUGGAAAGCUGAAGGUACCGUACGAAUAAGGAUCGGCUAACUCCGUGCCAGCAGCCGCGGUAAUACGGAGGAUCCAAGCGUUAUCCGGAUUUAUUGGGUUUAAAGGGUCCGUAGGCGGGUCUUUAAGUCAGUGGUGAAAGCCUGCAGCUUAACUGUAGAAUUGCCAUUGAUACUGGAGACCUUGAGUGUAGUAGAAGUAGGCGGAAUAAGGCAUGUAGCGGUGAAAUGCAUAGAUAUGCCUUAGAACACCGAUUGCGAAGGCAGCUUACUAUGUUACAACUGACGCUGAGGGACGAAAGCGUGGGGAGCGAACAGGAUUAGAAUACCCUGGUAGUCCACGCCGUAAACGAUGGAUUACUCGCUGUUAGC